GAAUAACGACAGAUAGUUCACAAUGCCUGGAACGGUUUGUGGAUGAAGAUAGGAUGGGUCUGCGGCGUAUCAGGUUGUAGGGGGUGUAACGGACCCCCUAGCCAUCGACGCGUACGGGUGUUGGGAGACAUAGCCCGGAGAUGGAUUCUGAGACACGAAUCCAGACCCUACGGGGUGCAGCAGGCGCGAAAACUUCACAAUGCAGGAAACUGUGAUGAGGGAACUCCAAGUGUGUGCAUUUUAUGUACACUUUUCUGAACUCUUAAUCGGUUCAGGAAUAAGGGCUGGGAAAGACCGGUGCCAGCCGCCGCGGUAAUACCGGCAGCUCAAGUGGUCGUCGCUUUUAUUGGGCCUAAAACGUCCGUAGCCUGUUUGGUAAAUCUGUGGGUAAAUCAACCAGCUUAACUGGUUGAAUUCUGCAGAGACUGCCAGACUAGGGACCGGGAGAGGUGUGGGGUACUCGAGGGGUAGGGGUAAAAUCCUGUCAUCCUUCGAGGACCACCAGUUGCGAAGGCGCCACACUGGAACGGAUCCGACGGUCAGGGACGAAGCCUAGGGGCACGAACCGGAUUAGAUACCCGGGUAGUCCUAGGUGUAAACGCUGUGAACUUGGUGUCGGGGGUCCGCAAGGGGUCCCCGGUGCCGGAGUGAAGAUGUUAAGUUCACUGCCUGGGGAGUACGGUCGCAAGGCUGAAACUUAAAGGAAUUGGCGGGGGAGCACUGCAACGGGAGGAGCGUGCGGUUUAAUUGGACUCAACGCCGGGA
RNAcentral lists this ribosomal RNA (765 nucleotides) under uncultured Candidatus Poseidoniales archaeon. Its description in RNAcentral is "bacterial SSU rRNA". It matches the Rfam family "Archaeal small subunit ribosomal RNA", at positions 144 to 923 of the family's 1478-position model. The record is from RNAcentral. Lineage: Archaea; Methanobacteriati; Thermoplasmatota; Candidatus Poseidoniia; Candidatus Poseidoniales.